Long non-coding RNA from Salvelinus namaycush (lake trout), 2337 nucleotides. RefSeq lists it as uncharacterized. Lineage: Eukaryota; Metazoa; Chordata; Actinopteri; Salmoniformes; Salmonidae. The transcript is spliced from 3 exons. The record is from RefSeq and is a predicted model, not a curated record.
AUCAGACUGAGGGGGGAAAAAGGGUAGAGCUCAAAAGGGCAGAGAGCCGAGACAAGACAGAGAGGUCACAGGAUAAGUCAUCAUCGAAUUGUUAGCCUCUCCCUAUUGAUCACUACAUGGGUGUCCAUUAGCAGCAUUCCCAUAAGAGGCACCCCCUGCAGGAGAUGAAGCAAGCACAUGUGUUUUCCACCACAGACGCAGAGGAGGAUCAGAGCUAGUCGCUGGGACAGGCAGACCUGGUGUAGGCUAGUCUAGUCUGUACAGCCAGGUCCAUGGACAUGCACUUACAGCCCUCCCUCAUUCCAACUCCAUGUGGCUGACUCCCAGCAUGCCUAGAGGGGUGAAUGAGAGGAGUGUCCCGCACCCCACCCAAAAGGAAUGCCACUCACACAGCAUCGCCUCUGGCUGUCUGUUGGCUCGCUUAGCCUGCAUCUGUUCAUGUGGUUUCUCAUUGUAUACUCUCCCUUGUCUUCUCAAUGGCAUUGUUUGUUUUGUUUUGAAGGUCGAAGCAGGGGUGGAUCUUAUGCAUUCAAUACAUUGGUUUUGCAGGAGAUCCGUUGACCAUGUGUGAGGUACAACAGGACUUUCUGUUAGGCUAAGGAGGAAUGCAUGAGGAUAUCAGGGUGUUGUCCUGUUGCCAUUGUGGGAAGAAAUUACAUUAUUGCACCCAUCAACCUCACAUUCCACCAUGAUACUGUACAUGUGUUACUCUUGGUGUCCUAGAUCCUUUGUUGUCACAUCAAUCCUUGUGUUUAAAUUAUGAGUGUAAUGGUGGGUGUUGACUAGAAACUUUUAGUAAAUGUUACAUGUUUUUGAUAGAAGGUACUUUUGUCAUCAUGCUGCUGCUGGUUUCAAUUUCACUACUUCCCCUGACAAACUGUACAAUUAGUUCACAGUUGAUGUUGAUAAAUGGAAAAUAUUUUACUGACUCAACAAUUAUGCUCAUCCUAUUUCAUGCCAUUUAAGCUGAGCAAAAAACAUGAAGUAUUGAAUUACUGAUAAGGUCCAGUGUCCAAAUGACUAAUCAGUCUUCAUCCCUGUUCCAUACUGUAGAUAAUACCGCAUAGACAUUCCACCAAGGUGACCUAACCAAAGCAGACAGCCUCCAAAGUCAAGCUACUGUCCAGUGACUACAGUCUUCAGUUUUUUCUUUAAAUCAAGCUAGUGGUUUGGAAUAAAGUAUGUGUUUGGAUGUGUAUACAACUGUGCAUGGUGUAAAUCUGCUUGCAACCCCCAGUCAACUGGUACCAUGCUCGAAAUAGGUGUUGUCCCUGGACUGUUCCUGUGAUGUUACUCCAAACCAGUCAACUUCUCCAAAUUCAGUGCACAAUGCAGAUAUACAAUCACUAUCAGUUUCAUAUAGGUUUUGAUUGAGAAAGAUGGGGCUACAUUGUGUAGAUGUGGAAACCGGCACUACAUUUUCUGAUUGCUGAUAGUUUGAAAAUCUGACUUAUUUCUAAAAAGAAUUACACUGUGACAAAUCUUGAAGUUGCCUUUUUGAUGAUUGUGUUAAGCUGCUUUGUAGGAGGGUAACCCCCUUCAUAUAAGGAAUCUAUCCAACGGUGGACUUUGCCAACUGGAAUCUGUCACCAACUGGUUUGAAUGUAAAACUAAACAGAUGUCUAUUAAUUUGUACAUAUCUGCUCUCAAUGAAUGGAACCUGGGUCUCUUGUGAAACGUCUAACAUUGCCUGAGUAGACAUUUUCCCUCCGAUGUAUGUGAUGAAAAUAACUGAUAUGAAGGCAUGGUUUUCAUUACUUUUUAUUUCAAUGAAAUGAAGAGCCAAUGUGGAAUUGAGUUGUGCUUUCUCUGUUGUGACAUUAGUACAUUCGGUUUUCAUACAAUCUUUUGGGAAUCUUUCAGUUGAAUCUUAAGGAUCCCUGUCUAACACGAAAUCAAAAUACAGUUAGUCAUUAAAACACCAUUCUGAAGAUUACGAUGAAACAAAAUACUAUUAAUUGGAAAGAUGAUAAAGUUAAGUUUCAUUAUGUUAACAGAGCCUUUGGAGUCAGUGUGUAUUGCACACAAACUCAAAAUAUAUAUUUUUUAAACUUUAUCACAAAGGUCUCACUAGUCUUUGUAAAAUGCUUGAAUACCAGUAGUUGGAUUACACCCUCUGGUGGCUUCAGAUUAUAUUUGCACAUUUCUCUGUGGUCCAGUUGUUCUGUUUGUACAUGCAAGACAUUUGGAUUGAGCCCCCAGCCAAUUCAAACAGAUCUAAUUUGCAAUGUGCUUGAUUCAGGUGAUUGUAUUGCUCUUCUCGUUGACAGUCCGCUUAAGCCCUUGUUCAAGUUCAAAAGUCUUGUUUGUAAAUAUUGCUUUUCACCCUUUUGUAAA